GACGAACGCUGGCGGCGUGCUUAACACAUGCAAGUCGAACGGAAAGGCCCUGCUUUUGUGGGGUGCUCGAGUGGCGAACGGGUGAGUAACACGUGAGUAACCUGCCCUUGACUUUGGGAUAACUUCAGGAAACUGGGGCUAAUACCGGAUAGGAGCUCCUGCUGCAUGGUGGGGGUUGGAAAGUUUCGGCGGUUGGGGAUGGACUCGCGGCUUAUCAGCUUGUUGGUGGGGGAGUGGCUUGCCCAGGCUUUGACGGGUAGCCGGCCGGGGAGGGUGACCGGCCACAUUGCGACUGCGAUACGGCCCAGACUCCAACGGGAGGCAGCAGUGGGGAAUCUUGCCCAAUGGGCGGAAGCCUGAUGCGGCAACGCCGCGUGCGGGAUGACGGCCUUCGGGUUGUAAACCGCUUUCGCCUGUGACGAAGCGUGAGUGACGGUAAUGGGUAAAGAAGCACCGGCUAACUACGUG
RNAcentral lists this ribosomal RNA (468 nucleotides) under uncultured bacterium. RNAcentral describes it as "partial 16S ribosomal RNA". It matches the Rfam family "Bacterial small subunit ribosomal RNA", at positions 28 to 507 of the family's 1533-position model. The record is from RNAcentral.